Molecule: ribosomal RNA, 253 nt
Filed under: uncultured bacterium
Lineage: Bacteria
Description: partial 16S ribosomal RNA
Rfam family: Bacterial small subunit ribosomal RNA
Source: RNAcentral
UACGAAGGGGGCUAGCGUUGUUCGGAAUUACUGGGCGUAAAGCGCGCGCAGGCGGUUCUUCAAGUCAGAGGUGAAAGCCCAGGGCUCAACCCUGGAAUGGCCUUUGAGACUAGAGAACUAGGGUACGGGAGAGGUGAGUGGAAUUCCGAGUGUAGAGGUGAAAUUCGUAGAUAUUCGGAAGAACACCAGUGGCGAAGGCGGCUCACUGGACUGGUAUUGACGCUGAGGUGCGAAAGCGUGGGGAGCAAACAGG